AUGUGGGAUCUUGCUGACUGCCAACGCAAUAGCUAUUUCCUUUCUUUCUUACUAAUCCAACCCUGGGUAGGGGUAAUGAAGUCCAGGCUAGAUCAUUGCAUCUGCUCUGUUCUCAAGGAAAUGAUGUUGCCCCCUGGAGGACAGUUUGGGAAUUAUUGUGGGAAAUUUGUGUUUAUUUCCAGGUUGUCAAAUGGUUCCAAUGCGGACAGUAUUGCUCCCUCCAGAGCGUUUUGGAAGUUUGCAGGGACUUUUUUGGACAUCACAAUAAUGAAGGCUUGUUACUGGUGCUGGAAAACAGGGAUCUGCAACAUGACCUUGCACUUCACAAAGUUUCUAUUUAUAUUUAUGUGGCUGUUUUAUCUCUUCCACUGGAUUAUGACUGUCCUUAAAAGCAGAGGUAUGUCCAUUUUUAUCAUUAUUGUAUCCCUGGGGCCUGGCACAAAGUCAAAAACAUGGUAGGGAUAUGGUAGAUAUUUUUCAAGACUGUUUAGUGAAUAAUUCCUUUGCUGGUAAAAUACUUCCUGUCUUCCUUAUUAGCUGGUCAGCACAACACAGGGCAGAUCCAUGUUUCUUUUGUUCACCAUAUUCAUGUCCUUAUAUUGUCCUCUCCUAUAAUGAAUACAGCUGUGUAUGAUCCAUGGGAUUUUACAGAAGUGGCAGUGUGUGACUUCCAAGGCUGAGUUAUAAAAGACAUUGAUGGGGUGCCUCAUUUGGUAAGUGUCUGCUAUCGGCUCAGGUCAUGAUCCGGGAUCCUGGGGUCCAGUCCAGCACUGGGCUCCCUGCUCCGCAGAGAGUCGGCUUCUUCCUCUGCUGCUCCCCCUGCUCAUGCUCUCUCCCAAAUAAAUAUGUUAAAAAAAAAAUAAAAGACAUUUCUGCUUUCACCUUGCUCUCAUGGAUCACUCAGUUUGGGGGAAGCCAGCCCCCAUGUCAUGAGGACAUUCACAAAGCCUGGCGGUUGUGCCCAUGUGGAGUGGAAUUGAGGCUCCCAGCCAUCAGCCCAUGUCAACUUGCCAGCCAUAAGGAGUGAGUCACCUUGGGAAGGGAUCUUUUAUCACAAGCCAUCAGAUGACUGUAGUCCCAGCUGACAUCCGACCCCAUGCUCAUGAAAGACCUUGUGCCAGAACAGCCCAGAUAAGCUGCUCUGAAUCCCAGACCCACAGAAACCAUAAGAGAUAAUAACUAUUUAUUGUUAAGUCUCUAAUUUUUUACAUGAUUUGUUCACAUCUAUAACCAAGAGUAAGCAUUGGCCAAACAUUUUUUUUUUUUUUUGAGUGAUAUUGUGAUCUUGGAUGAAUUCCUACCCCUUUCUGAGCCCCAGAGUUGUGGUCUGUAAAAGGGGAUGAAAUAUCCAUCUCUGAGGUUCAUAGAGUAUGUACCUCAGGGGCAAGAUCGGAGCACAUGGUAGAAGCUUAAUAUAUCUCCAGAAGUAUACCUCCAAUGAAGCAUGUGAGCCACACCACCUGGGUUUGAAUCCCAGUUUCACUACUUCUAAGGUAAGACUUCGUUCAGGCUACUAAUACUUAACUUUCCUGGACCUUAGACCCCUCAGCUG
Mustela putorius furo (domestic ferret) is the source of this 1552-nucleotide long non-coding RNA. Lineage: Eukaryota; Metazoa; Chordata; Mammalia; Carnivora; Mustelidae. The record is from Ensembl.